GGGCAUCAUGUCGGGGUGUCGAGGUGUCAAGGUGUCAUUUUCUUCUUCAUCAUCUUCUUUUUUUUCCUCGUCUUCCUUUUCUUGUUCUUCUUCUUCCUUCCUUCCUUUUCUUCUUCUUCUUCUUCUUCUCUUCUUCUUCUUCCUUCUUUUCCAUUUCCCUCUUCUUCUUCUUCUUCUUCUUCUUCUUCUUCUUCUUCUUCUUCUUCUUCCUUCUUUUCCUGUUUCGUCUUCUUUAUUCUUAUCCUCUCUCCUCUUUUUCUUCUUCUUCUUUUU
This 273-nucleotide long non-coding RNA is filed under the name Hordeum vulgare. Its description in RNAcentral is "long non-coding RNA (HVUL_LNC011780)". The record is from RNAcentral. Lineage: Eukaryota; Viridiplantae; Streptophyta; Magnoliopsida; Poales; Poaceae.